GGGGCUGGCCGAAAGGAUCGGGUCCCACCACGGCGGGGAGUUACCCC
The submitters of this non-coding RNA (47 nucleotides) gave its source as unclassified sequences. The record is from Rfam.